GACAGAGGUGCCGAGCGUUAGGCGGAAUCACUGGGCUUAAAGGGCGCGUAGGCGGGCUGUCAAGUCUGGGGUGAAAUGCCGCGGCUCAACCGUGGAACUGCCUCAGAUACUGACGGCCUCGAGGGAGGUAGGGGCGUGCGGAACUGUAGGUGGAGCGGUGAAAUGCGUUGAUAUCUACAGGAACUCCGGUGGCGAAAGCGGCGCGCUGGACCUCUUCUGACGCUGAGGCGCGAAAGCUAGGGGAGCAAACGGG
This 253-nucleotide ribosomal RNA is filed under the name uncultured bacterium. Its description in RNAcentral is "partial 16S ribosomal RNA". It matches the Rfam family "Bacterial small subunit ribosomal RNA", at positions 524 to 776 of the family's 1533-position model. The record is from RNAcentral.